Molecule: ribosomal RNA, 433 nt
Filed under: uncultured bacterium
Lineage: Bacteria
Description: partial 16S ribosomal RNA
Rfam family: Bacterial small subunit ribosomal RNA
Source: RNAcentral
AGCGAACGCUGGCGGCAGGCCUAACACAUGCAAGUCGAACGGACCCUUCGGGGUUAGUGGCGGACGGGUGAGUAACACGUGGGAACGUGCCUUUAGGUUCGGAAUAGCUCCUGGAAACGGGUGGUAAUGCCGAAUGUGCCCUUCGGGGGAAAGAUUUAUCGCCUUUAGAGCGGCCCGCGUCUGAUUAGCUAGUUGGUGAGGUAACGGCUCACCAAGGCGACGAUCAGUAGCUGGUCUGAGAGGAUGACCAGCCACACUGGGACUGAGACACGACCCAGACUCCUACGGGAGGCAGCAGUGGGGAAUCUUGCGCAAUGGGCGAAAGCCUGACGCAGCCAUGCCGCGUGAAUGAUGAAGGUCUUAGGAUUGUAAAAUUCUUUCACCGGGGACGAUAAUGACGGUACCCGGAGAAGAAGCCCCGGCUAACUUCGUG